CUGAGAGCUGCCUGUCCUGUGCUGCUUGACUUGGAUGCUGCUGUCCUCUUGCUUCAGCUGAUGGAAAGCGCUUGAGGCAGAUCUGCCUUGGCUGUGGCUGAAUCACACAACUUUUCUGAGCUAAUCUGCUGGUACACUUAUGGCUUCAGAGAGCCUGGUGCAGGUUCCUCAUCCAGCCAACAACCACAACCCAUGGCACACUGGAUGGCUUCAAGAUACCUUGAAUGUGGGAAAAUGGACGAGUGAGUGAAAUGAUGGAGAAGUGGCUGAAAUACCAAACACAGCUGUGAGAAUGAAAUGAAAUCCAUCUGACACAAGAAGAUGUUCCAGCUUUUCCCCAGGGAAGGAAGGGUCCUGGUGACCUGGCAGGGGACAUGGAGCUGCUGGCUGUCACAGCCCCAGAGGAAGCAGGGAAGGAUGCAACAGCAUCACAACCCGAGGUGGAAGGAGCAGAAGAAGCAGCUGCAAUGCCAGAGGCAGAGAGCCUAGAAGGGAAGGUUAUCACUUCUGAAGGAGCAGCAGCACCUGUGGUGGGAGCAUCAGAAAACCCAGCAGCAGAAAGAGUGGCUGAAGCGUUUGCCAGGGCAGCAGAGAGAAUUGCAGGAGCAGAAGUAGCCAAGGUGCUGCAGUCAGCAAUAGCUGAGCUCAAAGGAAAGAGGAAGGACGUGAGGAUAAAGCCAAGGAACGCCACUCAGCAGGAAGAGGAUUGGAUGAAAGAGGGAGAGGUGAAAUGAAAUGGAGAGGUGAUGUUCUGGGUCAUACCUCCUUAUGGCUUGUACCAUCACUCCUGGAAUGCAAUAGGGCUGCCAAUCACAUCUCUUUUGUGACUCAUUAUACUGUUAAAAAUAAAUAUAUGGCAUAUUCUGCA
Molecule: long non-coding RNA, 868 nt
Filed under: Zonotrichia albicollis (white-throated sparrow)
Lineage: Eukaryota; Metazoa; Chordata; Aves; Passeriformes; Passerellidae
Description: lncRNA (ENSZALG00000016849.1)
Source: RNAcentral